This 123-nucleotide non-coding RNA is filed under the name uncultured Victivallis sp. RNAcentral's name for it is "FMN riboswitch (RFN element)". It matches the Rfam family "FMN riboswitch aptamer (RFN element)". From Rfam's summary of the family: The RFN element is a highly conserved domain that is found frequently in the 5'-untranslated regions of prokaryotic mRNAs that encode for flavin mononucleotide (FMN) biosynthesis and transport proteins. This element is a metabolite-dependent riboswitch that directly binds FMN in the absence of proteins. Lineage: Bacteria; Pseudomonadati; Lentisphaerota; Lentisphaeria; Victivallales; Victivallaceae. The record is from RNAcentral.
AUCUUCGGGGCGGGGUGAAACUCCCUACCGGCGGUUAGAGUCCGCGAACUCGGGAACGUUAUUUUCCGGGCCGAUCCGGUGAAAUUCCGGAGCCGACAGUCAGAGUCUGGAUGAAAGAAGAUG